UUGGGCACACGCUGCGAAGAGAUGAAAACGAGAUUUGCAAAGAGGCGCUAGAUUGGAAUCCAGAAGGUCAUCGAAGAAGAGGCAGACCCAGAAACUCGUGGCGGUGAAGCCUAGCCGCUGAAAUCCGAACUGUCGACGAGAAUCUUGACUGGGAGCAAGUGAAGACGCUGGCUCCGGAUCGUCAACAGUGGAGGUCUUUUACCACGGCCCUAUGCACCGGAGGAUCGGCGCGGGAUCAUUAAGUAAGUAAGUAAGUAAGUGACACGCCAUCUUCGUGGCAUUCGUGUCAUCGAUUUUUUUUUAAUAUGCUGAUUUUCUGGACUUUGGUAAGAUUGAUUCAAAUAUGCCUUAUUGAUUUUUUAAAACAAGCAACGGCUUUUUUCAGAACGACCGGAUUUCCCCUCGUCGAAGGAUAUGUUGCCUCAAUUUUUCGGAUGUGGGACGACAUCCGGAUCUGCCUCCAGUAGAUUUGAAACAAUACACAACCAUAAUAAUAAAGGAAAUGCUUACCAAGUACUUUUUCAGCUGGAUUAGAAAGCAUGUCUGGACCGAGAGAGAACCCCGAUUCCGAAUAUCCCCGAAGACGUCGGACGCGAUCCGGGAGUUGUCCAUAUAGUGAAGCAAAUUGUCACAGCAUGACGAGCCAGAUGUAUAGACAAGCUGGAAGAUGGUUACAAUAUAAGCCAACAAACGGGAGUUUUCAUUCAUCAAUUCCGUACCGUAGCUUUCCGGAUUCCAAUAGCUCCCGCGAAAUCACCAACUA
Long non-coding RNA from Uranotaenia lowii, 763 nucleotides. RefSeq lists it as uncharacterized. The transcript has 2 exons. The record is from RefSeq and is a predicted model, not a curated record. Lineage: Eukaryota; Metazoa; Arthropoda; Insecta; Diptera; Culicidae.